GCGAUAUAAAGAACGCUGCAUUGGUCACGAAGAGCACAUGGAUUAUUACGAACUUGCGGAAUAACACUGUUGGCAUUCUUGUUGUAAUUUUGUGGCAUUCUUGGUCUACCUCACACCGCGCACGUUACAUUGAGCCAGGAUGAGCUGGCUUACGUUCACGUUCGCUGUAUCUUGCAGCUUGGCAUUAUUGGCAGGUGGAACCCUCCGAUUUCGACCCGAAAAGUGUUGCUCAAUUAUCAUUGCGACUGCCGUGUUACAUAACAUAUGUGAAAACCAUGGACUUCCCGUUCCUCGUAAUCCACCCGCCAACGUGGACAAUCCCGAUGCGACAACAACCCUCUAAUUGGUUUCGCAGACAACUAGACGGGCGUGGACGCAAGGACAAGAAUGAUAGAUUAACAUUUUAGGAAUAUGUGAAGCCUUCUUUCUUCAACAUCAAGUCGCUUCUUCUCAACUUCUACCCGCUCCUUCUCUACCUCGACUACUUCAGCUGCAUGGGAAAGUUUCCUUUCUGCUGCAGAUCCCAUGGAUGAACCAGCCUUUCCUGAUCGCCGGACAGAAGAAGAUGAAGCUGAAGGAACGUCACCAUCCGAGAUGUCAUCGACAGGAUGAGUGAUGAA
Long non-coding RNA from Lineus longissimus, 620 nucleotides. RefSeq lists it as uncharacterized. NCBI's taxonomy places the organism in Eukaryota, Metazoa, Nemertea, Pilidiophora, Heteronemertea, Lineidae. The record is from RefSeq and is a predicted model, not a curated record. The transcript has 3 exons.